Molecule: ribosomal RNA, 253 nt
Filed under: uncultured bacterium
Lineage: Bacteria
Description: partial 16S ribosomal RNA
Rfam family: Bacterial small subunit ribosomal RNA
Source: RNAcentral
UACGGAGGGUGCAAACGUUGCUCGGAAUCAUUGGGCGUAAAGCGCACGUAGGCGGUCGGCUAUGUCGGAUGUGAAAGCCUCGGGCUUAACCCGAGAAGGGCAUCCGAAACUGGCCGGCUUGAGUAUGGAAGAGGGUCUCGGAAUUCCCGGUGUAGAGGUGAAAUGCGUAGAUAUCGUUUGGAACGCCAAUGGUGAAAACAGGUAACUGGGGACACGCUGACACUGAGACACGAAAGCCAGGGGAGCAAACGGG